AGUCACUGACAUUAGAUACCCCGGUAGUCCCAGCCGUAAACUAUGCUCGCUAGGUGUCAGGGACGGUGCGACCGUUUCUGGUGCCGCAGGGAAGCCGUGAAGCGAGCCACCUGGGAAGUACGGUCGCAAGGCUGAAACUUAAAGGAAUUGGCGGGGGAGCACUACAACGGGUGGAGCCUGCGGUUUAAUUGGACUCAACGCCGAAAAACUCACCAGGAGCGACGGAUAUAUGAAGGUCAAGCUGAUGACUUUACCUGAUUUUCCG
Molecule: ribosomal RNA, 265 nt
Filed under: uncultured archaeon
Lineage: Archaea
Description: partial 16S ribosomal RNA
Rfam family: Archaeal small subunit ribosomal RNA
Source: RNAcentral